This 423-nucleotide ribosomal RNA is filed under the name uncultured bacterium. RNAcentral describes it as "bacterial SSU rRNA". It matches the Rfam family "Bacterial small subunit ribosomal RNA", at positions 358 to 773 of the family's 1533-position model. The record is from RNAcentral.
GGAAUCUUGGACAAUGGGGGCAACCCUGAUCCAGCGAUGCCGCGUGGGUGAAGAAGGUCUUCGGAUUGUAAAGCACUUUAAGUUGGGAGGCAGGGUAGUAACUUAAUACGUUGCUAUUUUGACGUUACCGACAGAAUAAGCACCGGCUAACUUCGUGCCAGCAGCCGCGGUAAUACGAAGGGUGCAAGCGUUAAUCGGAAUUCCUGGGCGUAAAGCGCGCGUAGGUGGUUCAGUAAGUUGGAUGUGAAAUCCCCGGGCUCAACCUGGGAACUGCAUCCAAAACUGCUGAACUAGAGUACGGUAGAGGGUGGUGGAAUUUCCUGUGUAGCGGUGAAAUGCGUAGAUAUAGGAAGGAACACCAGUGGCGAAGGCGACCACCUGGACUGAUACUGACACUGAGGUGCGAAAGCGUGGGGAGCAAAC